AUAAUAGUGUAUGGGUAAGAUUUAAUUUUGUUUUACUUUUUUAUUUAUUAAUAACCAAUCAAUAAUUAAAUUAUUAAUUCAGGACAUGAUCAAAUCAGAAGAGAAUCAUGAUCCAAUAAUAAUAUACUACUAUUAUUACUAUUAUCAUUCUAGUAAUUUUUGGUAGAUUAAUUUGGUUAAGCCAAUUUAGAAGUUCCACAUGGACUAAAGGACAAAAAAUAAAAGGGCAACACGAUUUCGCAGAUGGAGUGAGUAGUCUCAUUCACACCAUUAUUUAGUAAAGAAGACUAAUGUGAUAUUGUAGAUGGUCAAUUUUGGGCCAAUGAUAGAAGGAAAUCUAUCAAUGAUGAGAAGGAUAUGUGAAGGAAGCAUCAAACGGGUAGGAUUAAGGAUGGUAAUGCAUCUGGUCAAGUUUGAGCUUAGCCAAGCUCUUUCUGAGCUCACACGGUGCUUUCUCUCUUACCUUAAAUAUUUUGUUUUAUUUGUCGAAUUUACUUUGUUUGUCAAUGGUAUAAAACAAAAUUACUUUAUUCUAUAAUCAUUGUAUGUCCAUAAUUUUUCAUUAAAAAAAAUUCAUGUUUUGUACAAAUAAAAUCAUCAUUAUUUUAUUAUAAUUAAUAAAAUAAUAAUGAUGAUGAUGAUGAUAUCUAUAGUAAAAAUACUUAUCCUUUAUUUUAUUAGUUGAACAAAUGCAUAAUUAUAACAAAGAAUAUUGUCAAAACUUGUAAAAAUUCACUCCAACUAUAAAAUAAAGUAAGCAUAUCAAUAGGAGUACAAUUCAUUUUGAUUUUGAUAACUUAAAUAAACAACUUAUUCUGAUUACGAAUUCAGUUUAUUUUAAAUCUGGUCCAUCCUAAUUUCUUCGCAUCUUGAUUUCAGAAAAAUAAAUGCACCAUUAGUUUGGCUUUUGUUGCCCUCAACUUUAAUUUAACGCUCAUUUAAUAUACAAAGUAGUCCUUAUUUGGUCUUGUUUUUAACUCGAGAGGUAUUUACUUGUAGAUCAAAUUAUAAAUUAGUUAGAAAAGCGUUCAGUGCCGCGGAUGCCAUAUGCGAGAAGAUUGAGUUUUGCCUACUCUAAACGUAACAUGAGUAAGAAAAUAGCCAUAAAUUCUUGUAUAAAUUUAUUUUCUACAAACUGACGUGACAUGAUAAAAUUGAUUGAAUUAAAUAUCUUUUGACCCACAUGAUUUAUUUUUAUUAUUUUAUAUUUUUAUUUAACCAAUAAAUUAAUACUAAAUUAAUUUAUAUAAGAUAAAUUUAUACAAUAAUUUAUAACUAUAUCAUCAUUCAACGUAACAUAAUUAAAGAGGAGCGUCAAACCGUGAACAAGAGCUUCGAAAGUAGGCUGGGACAUGGGAUGCUGUUGGAUUGCCUAUUAGCUUAGAAUGACUGAUGUUAUCGAUCACUAUCACAUGGCUCUUAGCCAAGUCUCUUGCUUUUGCGUAUUCCAAAAAAAAAAGUCUCUUGCUUUUGCGUAUUCCAAAAAAAAAAAGUCUCUUGCUUUUGCGAUUAGUGGGUCUCUGCCCUCCCUCCAUUCCACGUAGCUCUUUUGUUUUCUUUCUUCUUUCAUUUUCUUUAACGCAAACAUGGUUUGGAAUCUUUGUGUAAAGUUGACUGUCAUCAUACCAACUACAUCUAAUUUCUAAAGAUGGUUGAACAUGUCAAAAAUGGUGUGAUGAAAUAGAGUAAUAAUUUGAACGAAUAGAAAGGUACAUCAGUUGCUUUGGUGCAAGUUUUCCAAUUGGCUAAUUGAAUUAACAAAUAACAUGACAAAGUAAUUCAAUUAAAGUUUUAAAAUUUGUGUUAGAUGAUCGUGAUUCUAGUCGCUUGCUAUCAUCAUAAAACGCUAUUUUAUAUGGGUUGUUUAGCUCUGGACUUAAAUAUCAGUUUCUUUUUUAUUGUGAUGCUUAUAGCAUCGCCAAAAGCCUUUUUAA
Molecule: long non-coding RNA, 1934 nt
Filed under: Citrus x clementina
Lineage: Eukaryota; Viridiplantae; Streptophyta; Magnoliopsida; Sapindales; Rutaceae
Description: Citrus clementina (C. clementina) long non-coding RNA (CCLE_LNC003127)
Source: RNAcentral